This 253-nucleotide ribosomal RNA is filed under the name uncultured archaeon. RNAcentral describes it as "partial 16S ribosomal RNA". It matches the Rfam family "Bacterial small subunit ribosomal RNA", at positions 524 to 776 of the family's 1533-position model. The record is from RNAcentral.
UACGUAGGUCACAAGUGCUAUCCGGAAUUAUUGGGCGUAAAGGGUCCGUAGGCGGUUUUGUAAGUCAGAUGUGAAAUCCCCGGGCUCAACCUGGGAACUGCGUUUGAAACUACAAGACUAGAGUGUAGCAGAGAGGGGUGGAAUUCCACGUGUAGCAGUGAAAUGCGUAGAGAUGUGGAGGAACACCGAUGGCGAAGGCAGCCCCCUGGGUUAACACUGACGCUCAGGCACGAAAGCAUGGGGAGCAAACAGG